AGUUGUGUGUGUAGUGCAGAGCGGAUAGAGAGGGAGAAGACGAGGGGGAGACAGAUGAGGGAAAGAGCAUUUUGAGAGAAAGGGGAAGAGAGAGAGAGAUGAGUGUUGUUCCUGUGAGCAACAAUGGAGAAGAUGGGAUGCUCACUAAGAAGAUAAACUCUGUGGGAAAUCCUCCUAAGAGGGAAAGAACGGGGGCUCGUCUCCAUCUGAGGGUUGAAGGCUGCAGCAAGAGCCAGAUCAAACGUUCUGUGACUUUAUCACAUCCACCUGUCACACUCUGCAGGCUGCCAGGUUCCCCCAUCACUGCAUCACGGCUAUGAAAUCAAUCUGCUGAGGGACGGGGGAUCGGAUUGAGGGAUCACAGUGAUUGAUAAGAGACACCGGCAGGAAUCUGCUGGAGUUGUAAGCAGAGUUUAGAUAAGUGCAGACUGGGAAAUCAACAUCGCCAGAAGGUACUGCAAGGCUCAUCUGUAUGGCGGAGUGGCGGUAUGUCACACUAAAGAAGUGGAAAAGAAAAACAGAGCCUUGAGGAGUAAACAUUCGUCUAUGCGGUGAAAGGGACUGGCCGACUUUCCUUAAAUAUUCAGCAGAAGCAAGUGUGCAUCAUGCCAAGGAGCACUCACAAUGCACCAGGCAAUAGAGAUAGUGUAUAAUGUCCACAUGGGGAACAUGGGUAAUGAUGAUAUAAUGGAUUCACACUUCUUCUCUUAAAUGAGGAUGUAGCUGAUACUCAGCUUCACUCAUUUGCUGAAAAUAAACCAAGGACAUCAUGGAAGCAACUUAAAAUGUCCUAUCUGAACUGACCAACCCUGGACACGGCCGUCCACUCCUCGUUAU
Molecule: long non-coding RNA, 837 nt
Organism: Platichthys flesus (European flounder)
Lineage: Eukaryota; Metazoa; Chordata; Actinopteri; Pleuronectiformes; Pleuronectidae
Exons: 3
Source: RefSeq, a predicted model, not a curated record